Molecule: non-coding RNA, 73 nt
Organism: Halocaridina rubra (Hawaiian volcano shrimp)
Lineage: Eukaryota; Metazoa; Arthropoda; Malacostraca; Decapoda; Atyidae
Source: the annotation of a GenBank genome assembly
GCCUUCUGUGGUGUAGUUGGUAGCACCUUGGCUUAGCAAUUCUAUGUCCUAGAUUCAAGUCCCAGUUAGGGUA